Molecule: ribosomal RNA, 253 nt
Filed under: uncultured bacterium
Lineage: Bacteria
Description: partial 16S ribosomal RNA
Rfam family: Bacterial small subunit ribosomal RNA
Source: RNAcentral
UACGUAGGUGGCAAGCGUUGCCCGGAUUUACUGGGCGUAAAGGGCGUGCAGGCGGUUUGUUAAGUGCAGGGUGAAAGCUCCCGGCUCAACUGGGAGAGGUCCUUGCAUACUGGCAAACUCGAGGGAGGCAGAGGAAAGUGGAAUUCCCGGUGUAGUGGUGAUAUGCGUAGAUAUCGGGAGGAACACCUGUGGCGAAGGCGGCUCUCUGGGCCUUACCUGACGCUGAGACGCGAAAGCGUGGGGAGCGAACCGG